UACGUAGGGUGCGAGCGUUGUCCGGAAUUAUUGGGCGUAAAGGGCUCGUAGGCGAUUUGUCGCGUCGGGAGUGAAAACUCAGGGCUUAACCCUGAGCCUGCUUCCGAUACGGGCAGACUAGAGGUAUGCAGGGGAGAACGGAAUUCCUGGUGUAGCGGUGAAAUGCGCAGAUAUCAGGAGGAACACCAGUGGCGAAGGCGGGUUGCCUGGGACGUCUUGACUGACGCUGAGGCGCGAAAGCGUGGGGAGCGAACAGG
RNAcentral lists this ribosomal RNA (257 nucleotides) under uncultured bacterium. RNAcentral's name for it is "partial 16S ribosomal RNA". It matches the Rfam family "Bacterial small subunit ribosomal RNA", at positions 524 to 776 of the family's 1533-position model. The record is from RNAcentral.